This 56-nucleotide transfer RNA is filed under the name Biomphalaria glabrata. It matches the Rfam family "tRNA", at positions 8 to 63 of the family's 71-position model. Rfam says of the family: Transfer RNA (tRNA) molecules are approximately 80 nucleotides in length. Lineage: Eukaryota; Metazoa; Mollusca; Gastropoda; Planorbidae. The record is from Rfam by way of RNAcentral.
UGGCUGACUGGUAAAGCACUUGGCUUCCAAGCAGGGGUCCCAGGUUCGAAUCCUGG